CACCGACGCCGAAGACUCCCUUCCUCCUCUGACGGUGGACCUGAUCGGAGGCUGACAGAGGUGCUGGCUGGUUGUAGGUUUCCUUUUCCCGAGCCUAGACUUGAUCUUCUGUCACGUCUCUGGAGAUCGACAAGGAUUUGGAUGCGAGUAUAAGUAGAACAUGGGUGGCUGCAGUAUGGUGGGAGAUUUUUGGAUAAACUU
Zingiber officinale is the source of this 201-nucleotide long non-coding RNA. RefSeq lists it as uncharacterized. The record is from RefSeq and is a predicted model, not a curated record. The transcript is spliced from 3 exons. NCBI's taxonomy places the organism in Eukaryota, Viridiplantae, Streptophyta, Magnoliopsida, Zingiberales, Zingiberaceae.